UGCAGUCGAACGAUGAAGCCUAGCUUGCUGGGUGGAUUAGUGGCGAACGGGUGAGUAACACGUGAGUAACCUGCCCUUGACUCUGGGAUAAGCGCUGGAAACGGCGUCUAAUACCGGAUAUGACCUGCCCCGGCAUCGGGUGUGGGUGGAAAGUUUUUCGGUCAAGGAUGGACUCGCGGCCUAUCAGCUUGUUGGUGAGGUAAUGGCUCACCAAGGCGACGACGGGUAGCCGGCCUGAGAGGGUGACCGGCCACACUGGGACUGAGACACGGCCCAGACUCCUACGGGAGGCAGCAGUGGGGAAUAUUGCACAAUGGGCGAAAGCCUGAUGCAGCAACGCCGCGUGGGGGAUGACGGCCUUCGGGUUGUAAACCUCUUUUAGUAGGGAAGAAGGGCUUCGGCUUGACGGUACCUGCAGAAAAAGCACCGGCUAACUACGUGCCAGCAGCCGCGGUAAUACGUAGGGUGCAAGCGUUGUCCGGAAUUAUUGGGCGUAAAGAGCUCGUAGGCGGUUUGUCGCGUCUGCUGUGAAAACCCGAGGCUCAACCUCGGGCCUGCAGUGGGUACGGGCAGACUAGAGUGCGGUAGGGGAGAAUGGAAUUCCUGGUGUAGCGGUGGAAUGCGCAGAUAUCAGGAGGAACACCGAUGGCGAAGGCAGUUCUCUGGGCCGUUACUGACGCUGAGGAGCGAAAGCGUGGGGAGCGAACAGGAUUAGAUACCCUGGUAGUCCACGCCGUAAACGUUGGGAACUAGAUGUGGGGGCCUUUCCACGGUCUCCGUGUCGCAGCUAACGCAUUAAGUUCCCCGCCUGGGGAGUACGGCCGCAAGGCUAAAACUCAAAGGAAUUGACGGGGGCCCGCACAAGCGGCGGAGCAUGCGGAUUAAUUCGAUGCAACGCGAAGAACCUUACCAAGGCUUGACAUAUACCGGAAACUUCCAGAGAUGGUUGCCCCGCAAGGUCGGUAUACAGGUGGUGCAUGGUUGUCGUCAGCUCGUGUCGUGAGAUGUUGGGUUAAGUCCCGCAACGAGCGCAACCCUCGUUCUAUGUUGCCAGCACGUUAUGGUGGGAACUCAUAGGAGACUGCCGGGGUCAACUCGGAGGAAGGUGGGGAUGACGUCAAAUCAUCAUGCCCCUUAUGUCUUGGGCUUCACGCAUGCUACAAUGGCCGGUACAAAGGGCUGCGAUACCGUAAGGUGGAGCGAAUCCCAAAAAGCCGGUCUCAGUUCGGAUUGAGGUCUGCAACUCGACCUCAUGAAGUCGGAGUCGCUAGUAAUCGCAGAUCAGCAACGCUGCGGUGAAUACGUUCCCGGGCCUUGUACACACCGCCCGUCAAGUCAUGAAAGUCGGUAACACCCGAAGCCAGUGGCCUAACCGUAAGG
Molecule: ribosomal RNA, 1380 nt
Filed under: Rathayibacter agropyri
Lineage: Bacteria; Bacillati; Actinomycetota; Actinomycetes; Micrococcales; Microbacteriaceae
Description: 16S ribosomal RNA
Rfam family: Bacterial small subunit ribosomal RNA
Source: RNAcentral